This is a long non-coding RNA of Corticium candelabrum, 1334 nucleotides long. RefSeq lists it as uncharacterized. The transcript has 3 exons. NCBI's taxonomy places the organism in Eukaryota, Metazoa, Porifera, Homoscleromorpha, Homosclerophorida, Plakinidae. The record is from RefSeq and is a predicted model, not a curated record.
GGAAAUCUCUGUCAUCUUCAUCAUUGGGUAGGAUGUCGUCGACAGAUAGAUCCACUCCUUUGCAUUGUGGAAUGCCGGCAGUGCUGUAAUAUUCGAGUGGUGGUAGUUUGGAAACUUUGAAAGCUAAGUGACUUGUAAAGUUCCAGGCUUCUGCAUGUCUUGCAAAUCUCUCAUGUCUCAACUGUUUGUUAAUGUUUAUGUUGUCAUAGGCAACAAUCCAAUGACCACGUUGGAGCUCUCUUCUUUUUUCUAUUGCCCUGGCUGCAUUUUCUACGUAUCUUAUAGUCUAACUCAAUCAACAUCAAGCUCCGUAAAAGUUGGAAACUCUUUACAUGGUCACUAUUUAUUUUUGCAAGUACAGCAAUGGCAGUCAGACUGUGUAUGUCUUUUAAAUUGGUGACUGUUCUUGUGAAAUCUCUACUGCCACCUAUAGUUGACAACAGCAACGUGGUGUUUGGUGCAUACUGCAACAAUUGGUCAUACAGUUGACUGAAGGUGAAGUCAGACAAAGUAUUUGGAUCUGAUUCUUCAAUUUAACCAAUGGUCAGUGCUCCUACGACUUGCUGCAGGUGAAGAUCCAAGUCUUGCUUGAUAUGUCUUUCAUGUUUUAAUUCAUAUUCCAAGUCUGCUAUCAGUUCAGUUGUUGGUGACAGAUGAGGACGCUUGGCGGUAUGGUCGGUCUUAUUUCUAAUGCCACAAUACAUGUACGAUCGGCUUCCUUGAACUCUGAAAUUUUUCGGUGUACUUUAUUUGCUGAGCCAAAGGCAACUUGUAUGAGUUUUCAAUAUCGCUGGAAGAUAUUGCAGCCUCUCCAGCAGACUCUAGGGCAACGUUCAUGCAGUCAAAAACAUCUUUUGUCUGCACCCUGUCUGACUCAGUUCCAAGCUCAAAAUUCUCGUGAAGCCUACAACAGUGUCAACUGUUAGUUUGGCUACAAUAGUUGAGCAGAGGAUUGUGUAUAUCACAGAGUAUUUGCCUCUUACAGCUUGACAUAACGUGAAUUGACUUCAUCAGAGGAAUCUGUCGAUGAAUGUUCCAUAGCCAUGGCAGGACAACAGAGACACUGGGCAGUGAGAGCUGAAUAGACAGACUAAAGUAUACACUGUAGUUGGUAACCAACAGAAGUGAGCCAGCACUUCAAUACACUUGCUUAUAUCUAUAUCCUUAAACGGAUACGUUCAGUUUCUAGGAAUUGUUAGUAGUUACUGUAUAGUAGUUGCUAGAGUACUGGGAAAUCAUGAUCUGAAAUGAUCUCAAAUAUGAUGUCAUUGUCACUGACAUUGUGCCAUCCGGUACAGCGGUUUCCAAUAACUGAUUAGGAAUGCACACGUUAU